GACGAACGCUGGCGGCGUGCUUAACACAUGCAAGUCGAACGGAAAGGCUCCUUUUGGGGUAUUCGAGUGGCGAACGGGUGAGUAACACGUUAGUAAACUGCCCUCUUCUUCUGGUUAACUUCAGGAAACUGGGGCUAAUACCGGCUAGGAAUCCUUGCUGCAUGGAGGGGGUUGGUAAGCUUCGGCGGCUUUGGAUGGAUUCGCGGCUUAUCAUCUUGUUGGUGGGGUAGUGGCGUACCAAGGCUUUGACGGGUUGCCGGCAUGAGCGGGCGACAGGCCACAUUGGGACUGAGAUACGGCCCAGACUCCUACGGGAGGCAGCAGUGUGGAAUAUUGCACAAGGGGCGGUGGACUGAUGCAGAAACGCCGCGGGCGGGAUGACAGCAUUCGGGUUGUAAAACGCGUUCAGCAGGGGCGAAGCUUGUGGUGACGGUACCUGGAGAAGAAGCACCGGCUAACUACGUG
This 465-nucleotide ribosomal RNA is filed under the name uncultured bacterium. RNAcentral describes it as "partial 16S ribosomal RNA". It matches the Rfam family "Bacterial small subunit ribosomal RNA", at positions 28 to 507 of the family's 1533-position model. The record is from RNAcentral.